GCCUCUAUAGCACAGUGGUAGUGCGUUGCACUUGUAUCCUACGAUGGACGCGAGUUAUGCAGAGGUCGCUCGUUCGAUCCGGGCUGGAGGCA
Non-coding RNA from Xylariaceae sp. FL0255, 92 nucleotides. Lineage: Eukaryota; Fungi; Ascomycota; Sordariomycetes; Xylariales; Xylariaceae. The record is from the annotation of a GenBank genome assembly.